RNAcentral lists this ribosomal RNA (253 nucleotides) under uncultured bacterium. RNAcentral describes it as "partial 16S ribosomal RNA". It matches the Rfam family "Bacterial small subunit ribosomal RNA", at positions 524 to 776 of the family's 1533-position model. The record is from RNAcentral.
UACGUAGGGUGCAAGCGUUGUCCGGAAUUAUUGGGCGUAAAGAGCUCGUAGGCGGUCUGUUGCGUCGGCUGUGAAAACCCGGGGCUCAACUCCGGGCCUGCAGCCGAUACGGGCAGACUAGAGUUCGGCAGGGGAGACUGGAAUUCCUGGUGUAGCGGUGAAAUGCGCAGAUAUCAGGAGGAACACCGGUGGCGAAGGCGGGUCUCUGGGCCGAUACUGACGCUGAGGAGCGAAAGCGUGGGGAGCAAACUGG